RNAcentral lists this ribosomal RNA (231 nucleotides) under uncultured bacterium. Its description in RNAcentral is "partial 16S ribosomal RNA". It matches the Rfam family "Bacterial small subunit ribosomal RNA", at positions 28 to 260 of the family's 1533-position model. The record is from RNAcentral.
GACGAACGCUGGCGGCGUGCUUAACACAUGCAAGUCGAGCGGUAAGGCCCUUUCGGGGGUACACGAGCGGCGAACGGGUGAGUAACACGUGGGUGACCUGCCCUCAGCUCUGGGAUAAGCCUGGGAAACCGGGUCUAAUACCGGAUAUGACUCCAUGACGCAUGUUGUGGGGUGGAAAGCCUUGUGCGGCUGAGGAUGGGCCCGCGGCCUAUCAGCUUGUUGGUGGGGUGA